Molecule: ribosomal RNA, 497 nt
Filed under: uncultured bacterium
Lineage: Bacteria
Description: partial 16S ribosomal RNA
Rfam family: Bacterial small subunit ribosomal RNA
Source: RNAcentral
GAUGAACGCUGACGGCGUGCCUAAUACAUGCAAGUCGAGCGAACGGACGAGAAGCUUGCUUCUCUGAUGUUAGCGGCGGACGGGUGAGUAACACGUGGAUAACCUACCUAUAAGACUGGGAUAACUUCGGGAAACCGGAGCUAAUACCGGAUAAUAUUUUGAACCGCAUGGUUCAAAAGUGAAAGACGGUCUUGCUGUCACUUAUAGAUGGAUCCGCGCUGCAUUAGCUAGUUGGUAAGGUAACGGCUUACCAAGGCAACGAUGCAUAGCCGACCUGAGAGGGUGAUCGGCCACACUGGAACUGAGACACGGUCCAGACUCCUACGGGAGGCAGCAGUAGGGAAUCUUCCGCAAUGGGCGAAAGCCUGACGGAGCAACGCCGCGUGAGUGAUGAAGGUCUUCGGAUCGUAAAACUCUGUUAUUAGGGAAGAACAUAUGUGUAAGUAACUGCGCACAUCUUGACGGUACCUAAUCAGAAAGCCACGGCUAACUACGUG